UGGUUCACCGCUGCGAGGAUGAAAAGGGAAGCCGGUGAGAAUCCGGCACAGGGCCGCUGCUGUAUUCGGCGAGAGGCACAAGUAAAAAGCCACUGCGACACGUGUUGCGGGAAGGCGGCUUGAGCCUCGCAAAGAGCCGUAAGUCAGAAGACCUGCCUGUAGGU
RNAcentral lists this non-coding RNA (164 nucleotides) under zebrafish metagenome. The record is from RNAcentral.